Long non-coding RNA from Stegostoma tigrinum, 422 nucleotides. RefSeq lists it as uncharacterized. The record is from RefSeq and is a predicted model, not a curated record. The transcript is spliced from 2 exons. Lineage: Eukaryota; Metazoa; Chordata; Chondrichthyes; Orectolobiformes; Stegostomatidae.
UGCUAGCAGAUAGACGCAGAGCUCCUGUGUUUGAGGUCACCGCCGCCAUCUUAGUGACGGGCAAUGUGGUGUCACAGCGCUCGAGCAAGUACGACGGUUAAGUGUCAGCGCGUGCCCCUCCCCAAGCCCGAGGGGCCCGCAGUAGGUAUGGCCAAGGAAGCAGAAAGGCCUCCAGGCACCUAUUGAGGGAAUCAGACCAGAUGCUCCAAAGGUAAAAGCUGAAAUCCAUUGUGAAGAAGACAAACUCUAAAGAGGUUUUGUGACUUACAUCUGGGAGAGAUACUGAAGAAAUUAAUGGAAUCCAUUCUAGUUGUAGUCAUCUACCACUUAAUGUAGAAUUGGUGGCGUAUUCAACAUCAAUGUUUCAAUUAAUUCAUGUUUAUUUCAUAUUCUAACAUGGUAUUGGCUUUUUGCCUUGUUGA